AGAAGAGCUAGGGUUUCAGCCGGGUCGCGAUAGGGAGAGCGGCGGCGGAGGGGAGAAGAGCUAGGGUUCAGCCACGCGAGAAAAACGGCCGGUCCACGCUUAUAUACGAGCCGGUGAGCACAGUAUUUUCUGGUGAACAGUAAGGCCCGAAAACUGAAAUUUUGGCCCAGGCCCGUUUAGUUCCGAAAAACGGAAAAGUAGCCCACAGGCCGAAAUCUUUUCGGUUUUCGCCUGAUCUAAACAAGGC
This 247-nucleotide long non-coding RNA is filed under the name Sorghum bicolor (sorghum). Its description in RNAcentral is "long non-coding RNA (SBIC_LNC015853)". Lineage: Eukaryota; Viridiplantae; Streptophyta; Magnoliopsida; Poales; Poaceae. The record is from RNAcentral.